This 6605-nucleotide long non-coding RNA is filed under the name Manihot esculenta (cassava). RNAcentral's name for it is "long non-coding RNA (MESC_LNC011746)". The record is from RNAcentral. Lineage: Eukaryota; Viridiplantae; Streptophyta; Magnoliopsida; Malpighiales; Euphorbiaceae.
ACGUUAGCUACCGGCAAAUGCUCCCCCACUUUCAUUUCAAAUUUGAAUUGAAUCGCUAAAUGUUUUUAAAUCCUAACUUAUUGUACCAAGUAAAAUCAUUUUAAUUAAAAUGCAAAAAUUCAUAAAGGUUUAAAUUUUUUAUGCCAUUAUCCAAAAAUAUAUUAAAUGUCAUGAAAUACAUGAUAAUAGUUAAUUGACAAAAUGAGAGAAGCACCACGGUACUUCUCCAUUUCGGUUAGUCAAAUAACGUUAUAGGGGUGUUGGAGUUAGUUGUAUUAGAGCUAACAUUAGGCGUUUCUAGGUGUUAAGGAGAAGGAACGAGUAUAAGCAAAUGUGUAUACCUUAUAGGUUAAGGUCUUGAUAUAACUCUACUAUAGGCUUUUGUAAGUUAGCUAAGAAUGUUAUUUGACAUUCAACAUGUGUUAGAAGAUAGAGGUGAUAGUCUAAAGUCGUGAUCGCGAUAAUCUAUUCAACGCUACAAAUGUGUGUAUUGUAAGCUGCAGAUUACAUUAUGGACAUUUGAGCAUUGAGUGAAAAUUGUGUGCAUCACUUUUAAGAAUCUGCUAGGAUAUAGUAGAUGCCUUAUAUCUGAUGCAGUUGUACCAUGACAAGUUUCUAACUGCUAUGAAUUGACUUCAAAUAAAAGUUUAUAUCCUUUUAGAAUAAAAUACUAGAGAUAUUAGCAAUAAGGUAUAGAAAAAUUCUAUGAGAGCGAGAAUGUACUCAAAAAACGUAAUUGUUUUUGUGUUGUUUAUCAUUAAAAAGAGGAAUUUGAUAAAUAUUAUGAUAUAAGAGAAAUGAAAAAAAGGAGAGGUAUGAGUAGGUGAAAUAGGCUAGAAGAUGUUAGUGACCAAUUUUCUUGUUCACUUUUUACUGUGAUGAUUGUUUGAUAUCGAAACAAAGUUUUAACCUUCGAGAGAAAUAAAUUUGAAUUAUAAUAAUAACAGAUUUAGGAGUUUUAAAGAAAGUUUAAUUAUCUAAACAUUAUGUAAGAGGGGAUUGAAGAUACAAGGAGAAUACGCACAUAAAAUAAGUGAUAGUUAUGAGAUGGUAGGUGUGAUUAAGGGGUUAAUUUAUCUCAUUAAUGACAUAUUAGUUACUCUUGCUAGGAAAAAAAUAAGGAAGAUUAUAGAGUUUAUCCAACUUUUAAGAACAUGAUAUAGAUAGUGUAUGAUUUCGUAAUGUACUUUUUGAUAAAUAUUUCGAUUCAUCACUUGGAAGUGGAUAGGGUUGUCUUUAAGAUUAUAUUGAAGGUCUAUGUUUGAAAAUCAAAUUAAUAAUAACCGCAAUAGUUUAUUUUUUUUCCCUUUUUAGAAGUAUUGUUAUAUUUGAUAAGAUUAGAUAAAUUAUUUUGGGUGAUAUUAUUUGAGAUAAUAUUGUUGUUUAUUGGAAGUUUAGUUUUUAUCUAUAUUGGUGAUAUAGUUAGAUUUUAAACACUUUAAUCGGUACAAGUAAUUAUUAUUGAUAGGUUAUAUUGGUAUCUGUUUAUAUAUAAAUAUGUGUAUAUAUAUAUAUAUAUGUUUUGAAUAUUGGUAUUUAGUUUCUUAAUACGAUUGUGCAAAGUAUAGGUAUGAAAAUAUGAAAAUAUAAUUAUUUAUAUUUCCUUAGUUAUUUACUGAUUUCUAGAUAUAACCCUUAUUCCUCCAAUAGAUUGUUGAAUAAAUGAAUAAGAUUAUUUUUGUAUAGCAUAGUGUGAUAUUGUGGUUGAUUAUUAGCAAGAAUAAAUUAUGUUAGUAUAAACUUUAUGUUAUUAUCUAUUGCUAAGAGCUACGUGGACCUGAUCCUCUAUUGGAGGUACGUAGGCAGGCUUCGGGUGCGGUCCAAAUAUAACAUAUGUUAAGACUUUAAUUAGCAAAUUGUAGUGAUGUAACAUAUGCUGGACUCUAUGCUACACCUUGGAUAACCAAGGCGUGGUAUUAAUCCAUGGUUAAUUAAGAUAAAAUUCUUAAAUGGUGUAGAAAAACCUAAAACGCUCUCAUCAUCGCUAUUGCUCGCUGCCAAAUUUAUUUUUCCGACUUCGUCCUUCGCACAAAAAGUUGGCCUUCUCGCUUCACCACCAUUUUGGCCUCAGAAAAGUAGAUAUUGCCUUCGUGCUUUCACCCAACUCUAUUCACCUUUCGAUCCUUUAUUUCUAUAUCUUCUCUCUCGGUGUCGUUACCUCUCCUAAAAAAUCAAUUAUCUUUAAACUUGAGAUUCUUCACCAAAUUCAGCUGUCGAAACCUGUACUUGUGUUCGUCACCUCGAAUGCUACUCAUACAAUUCCUAAGCUCAAAACAAUCGUACUCGACUCUCCCGAGUUUGAAUUGCUGACAAUGAGCCUAGCUGGAAGGAGGGAAGGUUUACCAAUUGGACCCUGGGAUAAUUCUCUAUCCUCACGGACUACUGGUCGAGUUAAUGGAUUGGUUUUGGCUCAUCGAAAUUUCAGAUGCAUGGUGGCCCUAAGUCAUGCGGUUUACACGAGCUGGAUGGCUGCUGCAACUUUCUUUUUUUUCGGUACCUUAUUUUCAUGUUUAUGGUUUAUGUUAUUUCGUGAGAGCUUUAACUAUGGGAGUGGCGGUGGUGUCCAUAGGUAGAUUUGAUAUGAAGACAAUGUUGACAGUAAUUCAGCAGUGUAAGAUAGACUGCACCGGCUGUGGUGCUAAUAACGAAGGAUCCUAGGUUGUUAGAGGGCUAAGAUUUUAGCUCUCUAGAUGUUGUAGGCUGCAGCGUUGCUUCGCUUAGGAAAAGCGUAGUUGAACUGUUCCGUGAACAAUUUCGAAAUUUGAGUUUAAGUCAGCUUAGUUAAACACCAAACUUGGAUUUUUACCAUUAACUGGUGGUUAAUUUCUCAUAUUGGUUAUUCAAUGUGUAGCGUAUGAUCCACCAUUAAGUAAUAAAAAAAUACAGAUGGAACGUCACGUUAGCUGUCGGCAAAUGCUCCCCCGCUUUCAUUUCAAAUUUGGAUUGAAUUGCUAAAUGUUUUUAAAUCCUAACUUAUUGUACCAAGUAAAAUCAUUUUAAUUAAAAUGCAAAAAUUCAUAAAGGUUUAAAUUUUUUAUGCCAUUAUCCAAAAAUAUAUUAAAUGUCAUGAAAUACAUCAUAAUAGUUAAUUGACAAAAGGAGAGAAGCACCACGGUACUUCUCCGUUUCGGUUAGUCAAAUAACCUUAUAGGGGUGUUGGAGUUGGUUGCAUUAGAGCUAAUGUUUAGGCGUUUCUAGGUGUUAAGGAGAAGUAACAAGUAUAAGCAAAUGUGUAUACCUUAUAGGUUAAGGUCUGGAUAUAACUCUACUAUAGGCUUUAGUAACUUGGCUAAGAAUGUUAUUUGACAUUCAACAUGUGUUAGAAGAUACAGGUGAUAGUCUAAAGUCGUGAUUGCGAUAAUCUAUUCAAUGCUACAAAUGUUUGUAUUGUAAGCUGCAGAUUACAUUAUGGACAUUGGAGCAUUAAGUGGAAAUUGUGUGCAUCACUUUUAGGAAUCUGCUAGGAUAUAGUAGAUGCCUUAUAUCUGAUGCAGUUGUACCGUGACAGAAGAUACCAGGAGAAUACGCACAUAAAAUAAGUGAUAGUUAUGAGAUGGUAGGUGUGAUUAAGGGGUUAAUUUAUCUCAUUAAUGAGAUAUUAGUUAGUCUUGCUAUGAAAAAAAUAAGGAAGAUUGUAGAGUUUAUCCAACUUUUAAGAACAUGACACAGAUAGUGUAUGAUUUCGUAAUGUACUUUUUGAUAAAUAUUUUGAUUCAUCACUUGGAAGUGGAUAGGGUUGCCUUUAAGAUUAUAUUGAAGGUCUAUGUUUAAAAACCGAAUUAAUCACUGCAAUAGUUUAUUCUUUUUCCCUUUUUAGAAGCAUUAUUAUAUUUGAUAAGAUUAGAUAAAUUAUUUUGGCGGAAUUGAUAUUAUUUGAGAUAAUAUUGUUGUUUAUNNNNNNNNNNNNNNNNNNNNNNNNNNNNNNNNNNNNNNNNNNNNNNNNNNNNNNNNNNNNNNNNNNNNNNNNNNNNNNNNNNNNNNNNNNNNNNNNNNNNNNNNNNNNNNNNNNNNNNNNNNNNNNNNNNNNNNNNNNNNNNNNNNNNNNNNAAUUAUUUAUGUUUCCUUAGUUAUUUACUGGAUUCCAGAUAUAACUCUUAUUCCUCCAAUAGAUUGUUGAAUAAAUGAAUAAGAUUAUUUUUGUAUAGCAUAGUGUGAUAUUGUGGUUGAUUAUUAGCAAGAAUAAAUUAUGUUAGUAUAAACUUUAUGUUAUUAUCUAUUGUUAAGAGCUACGUCGACCUGAUCCUCUAUUGGAGGUACGUAGGCAGGCUUCGGGUGCGAUCCAAAUAUAACAUAUGUUAAGACUUUAAUUAGCAAAUAGUAGCGAUGUAAAUUCAAGCCAUAUUAACAGAUUUUCAUGUUGAAUAAAUUACUUAUUGGAAAUUUAAUAAGUUUAAUAUGACUAAAAUAAUUAUCAUACAUAUAAUUAUAUUUAUAAGAGUAUAGAUAAAAAUAAAGUCACAAAAGAAAUCACUGAAUUAGAUAAGAUAUAGGAGAACAAUUUUCAUAAAGAGACCAUGAGUGAAUUACACCCUUAAUAUUGCCAAAACAUGACUAUAACUUAGGAUAGAAGCAUACAGAAGUACCUAAAAUGAAUAACUUGGAAAGCUUGUCAAAGGAACGAAAAUUGGCAUGCGAAUAGGUGCAAUUUGUGAUAUAGAACAGCAAUUGAAAGGCAGUGUCACAAUCUAGAUAUAAAACGUAAGUUGGCAUUUGAAAGGCAGUGUCGUGGUUCAGUUAUAAGGCAUAGACGAAGUGUCGCACCUACCCCAAAUCCUCAUUUACUAGCAAACUAAAUGAAAUUGUUUCUUGAAAAAAUAAAGAAUAAUGGCAUAAAAAUCCAAAAUUUUAUUUCUUGGCACAAUAAAUUUGGAUUUAAAAAUAUUUGGCGAUUCUUUCCAGAUUUGAAUUGAAAGUGGGGGAGUAUCUGUCGGUAGCAGGCCAUAUUGUAUUUUUAUAUUACUUGAUGCUGGACUCUACGCUACACCAUGGAUAACCAAGGCGAGGUAUUAAUCGUUGGUUAAAUAAGGUAAAAUUCUUAAAUGGUGUAGAAAAACCUAAAACGCUCUUAUCGACGCCGUCGCUCGCUGCCGAAUUUAUUUUCCCGACUUCGUCCUUCGCACAAAAAGUUGGCCUUCUCGCUUCACCACCAUUUUGGCCUCAGAAAAGGAGAUAUUGCCUUCGUGCUUUCUCCUAACUCUAUUCAGCUUUCGGUCCUUUAUUUCUAUAUCUUCGCUCUCGGUGUCGUUACCUCUCCUAAAAAAUCAAGUGUCUUUAAACUUGAGAUUCUCCACCAAAUUCAGCUAUCGAAACAUGUACUUGUGUUCGUCACGUUGAAUGCUACUCAUACAAUUCCUAAUCUCAAAACAAUCGUACUCGACUCUUCCGAGUUUGAAUCGCUGAUGAUGAGUCUAGCUAACUGUGGAGAAAUGGAAGGAGGGAAGGUUUACCAAUUGGACCCUGGGACAAUUCUCUAUCCUCACGGACUACUGGUCGAGUUAAUGGAUUGGUUUUGGCUCAUCGAAAUUUCAGAUGCAUGGUGGCCCUAAGCCAUGCGGUUUACAUGAGCUGGAUGGCUGCUGCAACUUUCUUUUUUUUUGGUGCCUUAUUUUCAUGUUUAUGGUUUAUGUUAUUUCGUGAGAGCUUUAACUAUGGGAGUGGCGGUGGUGUCCAUAGGUAGAUUUGAUAUGAAGACAAUGUUGACAGUAAUUCAGCAGUGUAAGAUAGACUGCACCGGCUGUGGUGCUAAUAACGAAGGAUCCUAGGUUGUUAGAUGACUAAGAUUUUAGCUCUCUAGAUGUUGUAGGCUGCAGAGUUGCUUCGCUUAGGAAAAGCGUAGUUGAACUGUUUCGUGAACAAUUUCGAAAUUUGAGUUUAAGUCAACUUAGUUAAACACCAAACUUGGAUUUUUACCAUUAACCGGUGGUUAAUUUCUCAUAUUGGUUAUUCAAUGUGUAGCGUAUGAUCCACCAUUAAGUAAUAAAAAAAUACGGAUGGAACGUCACGUUAGCUGUCGGCAAAUGCUCCCCCGCUUUCAUUUCAAAUUUGGAUUGAAUUGCUAAAUGUUUUUAAAUCCUAACUUAUUGUACCAAGUAAAAUCAUUUUAAUUAAAAUGUAAAAAUUCAUAAAGGUUUAAAUUUUUUAUGCCAUUAUCCAAAAAUAUAUUAAAUGUCAUGAAAUACAUCAUAAUAGUUAAUUGACAAAAGGAGAGAAGCACCACGGUACUUCUCCGUUUCGGUUAGUCAAAUAACCUUAUAGGGGUGUUGGAGUUGGUGGUAUUAGAGCUAACGUUUAGGCCUUUCUAGGUGUUAAGGAGAAGUAACAAGUAUAAGCAAAUGUGUAUACCUUAUAGGUUAAGGUCUGGAUAUAACUCUACUAUAGGCUUUAGUAACUUGGCUAAGAAUGUUAUUUGACAUUCAACAUGUGUUAGAAGAUACAGGUGAUAGUCUAAAGUCGUGAUCGCGAUAAUCUAUUCAAUGCUACAAAUGUUUGUAUUGUAAGCUGCAGAUUACAUUAUGGACAUUGGAGCAUUGAGUGGAAAUUGUGUACAUCACUUUUAGGAAUCUGCUAGGAUAUAGUAGAUGCCUUAUAUCUGAUGCAGUUGUACC